GACGAACGCUGGCGGCGUGCUUAAUACAUGCAAGUCGAACGGAAAGGCCCUGCUCUUGUGGGGUGCUCGAUUGGCGAACGGGUGAGUAACACGCGUGUAACCUGCCCCUGACUUUGGGAUAACUUUAGGAAACUGGGGCUAAUACCGGAUAGGAGCUUUUGCUGCACGGUGGGGGAUGGAAAGUUUCGGCGGUUGGGGAUGGACUCGCGGCUUAUCAGCUGGUUGGUGAGGUAGUGGCUUACCAAGGCUUUGACGGGUAGGCGACCUGAGAGGGUGGCCGGCCUCAUUGGGACUGAGAUACGGAGCAGACUCCUACGGGAGGCAGCAGUGGAGAAUCUUGCACAAUGAGCGGAAGCCUGUUACGGCAACGCCGCGUGCGUGAUGACGGCCUACGAGUUAUAAACAGCUUUCGCCUGUGACGAAGCGUGAGUGACGGUACUGGGUAAAGAAGCACCGGCUAACUACGUG
RNAcentral lists this ribosomal RNA (468 nucleotides) under uncultured bacterium. RNAcentral describes it as "partial 16S ribosomal RNA". It matches the Rfam family "Bacterial small subunit ribosomal RNA", at positions 28 to 507 of the family's 1533-position model. The record is from RNAcentral.